Anthonomus grandis grandis is the source of this 1011-nucleotide long non-coding RNA. RefSeq lists it as uncharacterized. The transcript is spliced from 3 exons. NCBI's taxonomy places the organism in Eukaryota, Metazoa, Arthropoda, Insecta, Coleoptera, Curculionidae. The record is from RefSeq and is a predicted model, not a curated record.
UGUCUUUAACUUGGAAAAUCAUAAUAUAAUUUUUUUAAGAUAUAUUUUUCGGUCAAUUUUUUGUUCAAUGAAGAAAAUCACUAAACUUACAAGAUGUUCUUGAGUCAUAGUUAAGCGCAGUACAACCGGUGCUGUCCACAGAGGGCGCGUAGAGUGACUACAGGGCAUAAGACAGGCGAAGGCAUACAUAGAUGGGCCCUCAGUCACACAAUUAUUGCGCUUAAAGAGACUAGAAAUCCAUCUAGUGAUAGGUCUCUUCAUCAGACACUGGCAUUUAAGACGUAAUCUUCAUACUUUUGGACUAUCUGGAAUGUUGGUGAGGAUGAAACCGCAGACCACGACCCGACCCACUAUCGGGAGUGCUCAGCACUCACGCGCUAGGAAACCUUCGGUGGCAAUCCGCACGUAUGCAUUACAUGCUCUCUGCUACGUCUUUUGUUUUCAGCACGACGUUAGUAAGCCUAAGAACUAAGAAGCAUUUAUCUAUGGUAAGCGUCUGACUUUGAUGGGGCUAACUGACAAUGUAAACUUGUAAUAAAAUUGCGCAAAUCAUUUUCCAAGCAUUGUUAAAAUAUUUUUCUAAUGUAGGCUUUACAUACGCCAAUGCACAACCUGCGUAGAAUCAGAAUCUCAAAAUGUUUAUUAUGCUGUGUACUGCAUAAUGAAAAUUUAAAUGUUAUUCUAUUAAAAAUAAAAUACAAACUCAAAAAAAACAUAAUUUAAAGACUAUUUAAAAAUGUAAAAACAACUUUUCAAAGUAAAAUUAAGAAAAAUUAAUUCUUUAAAUAAAACGUUCCAACAGAUAAGUUAACCUAUCUAAAACCCCAUUUCGUACUUCAACAAUUUUCUCUCGCAAUUCCUCAAAAUCUGCUGGAUUACUAAAUUCAUAUUUAUAAAUGAUCUCAUUAAGAUAAACCCAAAAUAAAUGUCAAUCCCAUUAACAAGACGGCUAGGAACAGCAUUUAUUAGAAUAAAUGAUUUUAUUAUAACCGCAUUAUGAGUAGUGAAAAU